UACGAAGGGGGCUAGCGUUGCUCGGAAUCACUGGGCGUAAAGGGUGCGUAGGCGGGUCUUAAGUCAGGGGUGAAAUCCUGGAGCUCAACUCCAGAACUGCCUUUGAUACUGAGGAUCUUGAGUUCGGGAGAGGUGAGUGGAACUGCGAGUGUAGAGGUGAAAUUCGUAGAUAUUCGCAAGAACACCAGUGGCGAAGGCGGCUCACUGGCCCGAUACUGACGCUGAGGCACGAAAGCGUGGGGAGCGAACAGG
This 252-nucleotide ribosomal RNA is filed under the name uncultured bacterium. RNAcentral describes it as "partial 16S ribosomal RNA". It matches the Rfam family "Bacterial small subunit ribosomal RNA", at positions 524 to 776 of the family's 1533-position model. The record is from RNAcentral.